CUGCUUUGGGGGACUCUCUUCGCAGAAGCACAGGAAGGAAGGACCACGUGGCUUUUCCCAGGCUGUGAAGGAUCCCAAUUACUGGGACACACGGUGGGAAAGCCCCGGUGUCCCUUAAACAAUGGAUAAGGAGGAAACAGGGACGGAAUGAAGUGGAAAGCUGUUCCUACGGAAGCCAUCAGUUAUGAGGUAACUUUUGACUCCCUCUGCAGCCAGCGUUUCCAGACCCAAGGGUGAAACUCAAAGUGGCCUCAGGUCCUACCCACGGAGAUGCUGCUGCUGACAUUUUUUUUUUUUUUUUUUUUAACUAAGAGAGAGAGUGAGAACGGGAGGGGAGGGGCAGAGGGAGAGAGAGAGAACCUUAAGCAGGCUCCGUGCUCAGCGUGGAGCCAGACACAGGGCUCGAUCCCACGAUCCUCAGAUCAAGACCUGAGCUGAAAUCAAGAGUUGGACGCUCAACCGACUGAGCUGCCUACGUGCCCCUGCUGACACUUUUUUAAGCCAGAAAAAAAGGUCAAAGCUGCCCUGGAACCCACCUGUGCUUCUAUGGAGGCACAGUGCUGUUUUAUACUCUGCUGGUCAAAGCGAAAUUAUUACUGUCGUCCUGCAUGUGUUUGCUAAAUAUUCUCCCCGUGAGAGAUGGACGGUGGUGAUGGCUGCACAACAAUGUGAACGUGGUCAAUGUCACCGAGCUGGAUGCUUCAGAUCGGCCAAGAUGGGUGAAUCUUGUUGUGUAUAUUUCACCAGAGUAAGAGAGAGAGAAGGAGAGAGACAGAGAGAGGCAGAGACAGAGAGAGAAAGAAAUAGGGGCGCCUGGGUGGCGCAGUCGGUUGGGCGUCCGACUUCAGCCAGGUCACGAUCUCGCGGUCCGUGAGUUCGAGCCCCUCGUCGGGCUCUGGGCUGAUGGCUCAGAGCCUGGAGCCUGUUUCCGAUUCUGUGUCUCCCUCUCUCUCUGCCCCUCCCCCGUUCAUGCUCUGUCUCUCUGUGUCCCCAAAAAAUAAAUAAACGUUGAGAGAAAGAAAUAGAAGCUGAGAGAGAGAGAGAGAGGCAGAGACAGAGGGAGGGGGGAGAGAGAAAGAGGGACAGGGAAACAGAGGGAGACAGAGAAAGACAGAGGGAGAGAGCAAGUACCGGCAGGCUUUGAAACAAGAGAGACCAGAACUGCAUGCCUUGGUCUAUCAGGCAGGGUUGUUGAGGGGUCUGGACCAGGCUCUGGCGACCAGUGAGCACUAAACACUGGUUAAUGCCGUGACUGAGCCUCAUUACCACACAGCGUUUUGGGCACCGCAGGUCAGAAAGCAGAAGCAACUUGCUCCAGUCCACAAGGCCAUCCGGCCACAGGGUCACAAAGAAUCCCCUAAGCCUGGUUCAGUCCUUACCUCGUGAAGUGACUACACACUAGGAACCGAGAUUCCAAACCACCUGCCCCCACAAGGGCUGUUUGGGCACAAAACUCAGCCCUGAGGAGGAGCCAUGUCUCCACUAGCGUCCCUCUUCCUCUCCCCUGCCAGGGCCCAGGGGCCAGGAGACAGAGGCAGGGGGAGGAGAGGACUACCAGGGGGAGUAUGCAGCAGACUGGGGUCUGGAACAAUAAGAAGAAAGGACUCCUCUCCGUUUCCAAACGGCACUUGCGAAGGGGAACGGAAGGCACACAACAAGGUCCUCACCGGAGCAGCGGAAAUCCGGCGGUUCUUGCCAGGUGUCGUAUUUUUUCGGUUGGCAUAGCGGGAGGCAUAGGUUCGGGGCGGCACCUGAGGGGGCAUGGUCUUGCUCCGGGCCACGGGUUUUCCGGGAGUGUCCUUGCUGAAGUCCAGGGGCCCCCGGCCCUCCUUCCAGCCCCUGGUGGUGUCACGCAACAUUUCUGCAUCGUAGGUUGACUUCAGGUUGAGCCGUGUAAUCGCAUCAUUGAUCCCGUCAUAGUCCACAGGCCCCAGGAGGCGCCCCGGACCCCCACCCCCCAGCUCCUUGUCCUCUUCUAGGAUGCGACACCCUAGCAGUUUGCCUGGAGGGUGCUCGACCGAAGAAAAAGUGUUGACGUGAUUGGGCUGGGAGAUCUUGGAGGAUGAGGGAGACCCCUUUCUGGGAGGCAAGGGAGGGGUGUCCCAGAUAGAGACUCGGGGUGGCAAAGGAGGUGGGGACAGUUUCUUGGAGGAGCCAUCUAUAUCUCCUGGUCCUGGGGACAAAGAAAGCCCUUCAUCUGAACCAUCAAAAAUAUAGAGAUAGUCUCCAGCCAGAGAGCCUUUGGGCCAGGGAUCUGGGCCAGGCUGGGAGCCCUGGGAGGUAGAGUGGUUGGAUAACCCUUCCUGUGGGGACAGCGAGUUGUAAUUGAGGGUAGGAUCAGAGCCAGAAAGACCGCGUAAGAGCUUAAGGUCCUUCUGCCUCCCCGCCGGCUUGCUGUAGAAGUCUAGGACGGGCUCGUCCCAGCUGAUGAGAGUGGGGUCUGUGCUCUGCUUGGCUCUGUUCUCCUCCUUGUCGUGCCGGAGCUGGGACAGUGCAUCAUACUCCAUCUGCAGGGCUUCGGCCAUGGCCAGCUCUUUGCGGCUGAUGCCCACCGACUCCAGGGACUUCCAGUGUUCCCCAUUGCCCUGAGUCGAAGACAUGGUGAGGAUAGGUGACCGAGGAGACAAGGAAGCCUUCUACUUCCUGCCAGUGUCAGGGCUGCAGGGUUCUGGCAUGGUGUCUCGGCACCUGCAGGUGAGGGGUUAAAAAUGUCAAUCAUUCAGCCACGAAAUGACUUGUUUUAAUAAUCUGACUUAGGCGACAUCAUCUGGGCCACUGCCUCCUUCUUGCGUGCCUGUAACCGAUGGGGAGAAACAAAAAGACGGAGAGAAAAAAGAGAUCCCGGGGCGCCUGGGUGGCUCAGUCGGUUAAGCGUCCGACUUCGGCCCAGGUCACGAUCUCAUGGUCCGUGAGUUCGAGCCCCACGUCGGGCUCUGUGCUGACAGCCCAGAACCUGGAGCCUGCUUCGGAUUCUGUGUCUCCCUCUUUCUCUUCCCCUCCCCCGUUCAUGCUCUG
This 3015-nucleotide long non-coding RNA is filed under the name Lynx pardinus (Iberian lynx). Lineage: Eukaryota; Metazoa; Chordata; Mammalia; Carnivora; Felidae. The record is from RNAcentral.